Molecule: long non-coding RNA, 1015 nt
Filed under: Helianthus annuus (common sunflower)
Lineage: Eukaryota; Viridiplantae; Streptophyta; Magnoliopsida; Asterales; Asteraceae
Description: hypothetical non coding rna
Source: RNAcentral
UUAGGGUUUUUAUCACCAUUGCAGCUUUCUAACUUAAAGCUAUGUCUGCAAACAACUCUUGUAACAAAUCACCAUCACCAUUGACCUCCAUAGUCCCGCCACCAUCAAGAUCCAGCCCUUAGAAAUCGAUAUUCAAUCUCUGAUUCUUUAUUAAUAGCGGAUUGAUUGGCGAAAUCGAGAACUCAACCGAGUCGUUUACAGCGGCGAGCUCCGGCGUCGAUUCAGGUAACUCCGGUGAGUAACUGGAAUGUUGUGAUUCAGUUAUUAUCUCUGUUAGCAACGCCACCUGACGUGAAGAGAAACUGUGUUGAUAUUAGUGACGAUAAACUGUGCCGUAGCCGAAGAAGGCUCUGAUUGUGUGUAAACAGUGACAACAUCCGGCUGCUCCGUUUUAUUAUGAGCCGGUGUUAUGAACCGUGUAGACUCUCGUAGGCCCAACCUUGUGGCCCGUUUAAUAAGCCCAACAAGACAAGCUAGAUAUAAUACUGGGAGUUUAGAUUACGGAGAUUAUGAAAAGAUUGUUUAAGCUACUUGAGUGUGUUCUUCUUCCCAUCUCCAUUGUUCUUCUGUAUUCCCAUCUUCUUCUUGUAUUAAGUUGUAAUCCUAUCGGUUAAUCAAUUCGAGAUCUACCUUUAUUCCUAAUUUGAUUAUCUCUUAGCUGAGUGAAUAUCAAUUCACUUCAGCCGGCGCAAAUUCAGUUGCAAUCAAUUUGUAGUGGUGGUGUUGAUAGAAGUUGAUUGUUGAUUGAUAGAUUUAGUAGGUUUAGGUUUUGUCAUAGCAACGUGUAUUUUGAUCUAGAAGUUAGAUUGAAUAAUAUCAGUUUUCUCUUGUUUUUGAUUGAUUUGUUUUUAAUAAGUUAUGGUGGCGGGACUAUGGAGGUCAAUGGUGAUGGUGAUGAUGUCGGUGGUCGACGGUGUUGGUGUGCGGUGGUGUAGGUGGUAGUGGCCUGAUGAUGAUAAUUGUAGAAGUUGUAUGUAGAGAGAGAAGGUACAGGGGAGAUGAUGAUCAUGGUUAG